Onychomys torridus (southern grasshopper mouse) is the source of this 1399-nucleotide long non-coding RNA. RefSeq lists it as uncharacterized. The transcript is spliced from 3 exons. The record is from RefSeq and is a predicted model, not a curated record. NCBI's taxonomy places the organism in Eukaryota, Metazoa, Chordata, Mammalia, Rodentia, Cricetidae.
UGGGGUGGGGGCGCUGCGGGCGCAGCUCGGAUCCUGCGCGCUCCAGGCGGCCGUUGCCGCGCGCUCGGGCUCCCGUGGUCCAGACCCUCCCGACUGCCGCCGCCGCCGCCGACCCGCUCGCUCAGCUGCGGCUCUGCGUUCUGAUCCGUACCCGCGGCCGGCGCCCGAGUCCCCGGCACUGUGCGGUCCGCCCCGCCCCGCCCUCUGAAGCCCGCUGCCCGCCCCCCCCCGGGGCGGCGCCCUCGCGCCUCGGUGCCCGCCCGCGCGCCCACGGGCGGAGCUGCCCCCGCGUGCUCGCCGCCCGGCAGCCGCCAACCGCUGCCGCCGCCCGCGCCCGCGGGUUCAAUCUCCGUGCGCCCCCCGCACCGUCUCUAAGCAGCACGCGCCGCCUCUACACUUUCUCUUGGCCAAAUCCGGUGGAGCCAAGAGACUGUGUUAUUUAAGGAAAUCCCCAGGCUCAGAAUUGGAAGAAUCCCUUGAUGCUGGAGUCGCCCAAGAUUGUGCGUCCACUAGGGCAGCUGAGUGUAACUUGGCUAAGAUGUAGCCAAAGAGUUUUGGAAAUGUAGCUAGUUCCAGCAGGACCGGGCUGUUAGUGUUGCCCGUACACCGCAGAUACAAACCAUCUCAUUCAUAAAUCUUGUGUUAUUUGCUGGAAUGAUCUUUCCUGCACCCUUACAGCAAAGGAUUCCAUAUGGGUGGGCAACACAGAAAGGCCAAAGAAAGUUGGUGGAAUUGGGUCUAACCUAAUAAAGAUCACGAUCCGGUAGGAGAUGCAUGCUGUGCCCAUGGAGGACAGAAGAGGGCGUCUAAUCCUCCAGAACAAAAGUUACAGAUGAGCGUGAACAGCCAAGUAGGUACCACUCAGGUCCUUUGGAAGAGCAGCCAGUGUUGUUAUCUGUGAGCCAUCCCUCCGUCCAGGGAAAAUAUCAUCUUUGAUGAAAUUUCUCCAAGAUGCCAAUCUAAAAAGUCAACAUACAGCAUGAUUUCAACAUUGAUACUCUGAGAAUGGCCAAGUAAAAACAAAAGAUACCAGUGAUUGCCAAUUACUUUGUAUGAUCCUGUGAUGAAACAAGACAUGUACUUACAAUAGGCAGGAAAGCACAUCAAGAGUGAAUGCUAAUAUUAAGUGUGGACUUUGGGUGAGAAGGAUGUGUUGUUUCAUCAACUGUAACAAAUGUAUCACUCCAGUGGGAGAUUUUGACAGUAGAGAAGUCCUGGAGAGGUGGAGUGGGAAUGCAGGAUUUUCUGUUCAAUUUGGCUGUGAGCUUAAAAGUACUCUAAAAGUCAUUUAAAACUAGUGACCACACACAUAUUAUAUAAUAUAUUAUAUAAUAAUAUGUGCUGUUCAGAUAGUUAAAUGUAGGGGUUUUAUUUUGUUUUGUUUUGUUUUGUUUUGUCU